UACGUAGGGUCCGAGCGUUGUCCGGAAUUAUUGGGCGUAAAGGGCUCGUAGGCGGUUUGUCGCGUCGGGAGUGAAAACCAGGUGCUUAACACCUGGCUUGCUUUCGAUACGGGCAGACUAGAGGUAUUCAGGGGAGAACGGAAUUCCUGGUGUAGCGGUGAAAUGCGCAGAUAUCAGGAGGAACACCGGUGGCGAAGGCGGUUCUCUGGGAAUAUUCUGACGCUGAGGAGCGAAAGUGUGGGGAGCGAACAGG
Molecule: ribosomal RNA, 253 nt
Filed under: uncultured bacterium
Lineage: Bacteria
Description: partial 16S ribosomal RNA
Rfam family: Bacterial small subunit ribosomal RNA
Source: RNAcentral